RNAcentral lists this ribosomal RNA (429 nucleotides) under Chloroflexota bacterium. RNAcentral's name for it is "Chloroflexi bacterium partial 16S ribosomal RNA". It matches the Rfam family "Bacterial small subunit ribosomal RNA", at positions 355 to 776 of the family's 1533-position model. Lineage: Bacteria; Bacillati; Chloroflexota. The record is from RNAcentral.
UGGGGAAUAUUGCACAAUGGGCGCAAGCCUGAUGUAGCCAUGCCGCGUGUAUGAAGAAGGCCUUCGGGUUGUAAAGUACUUUCAGCGGGGAGGAAGGGAGUAAAGUUAAUACCUUUGCUCAUUGACGUUACCCGCAGAAGAAGCACCGUCUAACUCCGUGCCAGCAGCCGCGGUAAUACGGAGGGUGCAAGCGUUAAUCGGAAUUACUGGGCGUAAAGCGCACGCAGGCGGUUUGUUAAGUCAGAUGUGAAAUCCCCGGGCUCAACCUGGGAACUGCAUCGGAUACUGGCAAGCUUGAGUCUCGUAGAGGGGGGUAGAAUUCCAGGUGUAGCGGUGAAAUGCGUAGAGAUCUGGAGGAAUACCGGUGGCGAAGGCGGCCCCCUGGACGAAGACUGACGCUCAGGUGCGAAAGCGUGGGGAGCAAACAGG